ACACAUUCUCACUCCCAACUCGUCAUAUACUGACGCUUGGUCAGGAACCCUCGGCGUAGGUUAUUGACGCACAGGGUACCCCUUUAGCGUCACAUUUAGACGUGCAGGGAUUCCCUAUAGAAUCUGUAACGUUACCUGAGCCUGAAGCGUCAUAGGGAGACGCUGGAGGCUCGUAUAAUUACCAAUAGAUGUCAACGCACUUUUUAAAACCUGAUUUACGCCUAUUAUCGCAGUUUUCUUCUUUUAAAAAUAUGUAAUUUUUAUUUUGUUCAUGAAAAGCGUCUGUAAACUGGGUCGAAACUACUGUAUGAAUAAACUUCGGUCCACGUGACAUCCCUUCACGGUGAGUUUAACGCCGCUCUGCUAUUGGUCAAACUGCAUCAACGGUGAGUUCUCAGAUGAGUUCAACUGUCAACAUUAAAUAGUAUGGUAAUGCUGCAUAAUGUAUUUUUAUUGGAGAUUAGUUGGUGUUUAUAAAUAUUUUAUCAUUAACUUUAUAUUUAAUGAGUGAAAAUAUAUUCGGUUGUCCAGUUUAGGUUAACUAUAAAACUAUACUACUAAUAAAACUUUGAUUCAUUCAUAUUAUUUAUUAUUUUUUUACUUAAAAAAUAUUACAUUUCAAGUACUAAGUUUAAAAAUGUUUUUGGCUGAUCUUUUUCAUUUUAAAUUAUUCAUUGAAGUUGGGGUCAUUGUAUGUGGCGAUCUAUUUUUUACAGUCUAUGCUCGCUAUCCCAAGGUUCAUUGCGAUCCCAAGGUUCACUGCGGUUUUCCACAAGCCUGUUUCUGCCUAUCACCAUGAGUGAUUCCUUGAUACUCAUAUUUAUCAUCAAGAUCUCAAUUAUAAGCUCAAGUCUUGAUGACAACUUGAUGAUCUGCAGGAAGCACCACCAUGUAUAGAGGGCAAAGACCACUCUGGAAUCAGUCAAGGGUGAAAUGGAGUGAGGCAUACAAGGAUAUGUGUGGUUUUACUCUUGGGAAGGAGGUUGAACAGUGCAAUAUUUCUUCUAUAGGAUUGCAGUGACCAGACAUGCUACUGUAACUCUCAUGGUCAUGUGCUGGAAUUAGCAGAUAUUCAACAAUUUGGCCAUCUUGCUGACCUAUUGAUAUCAGAAGACCACAACAGCUCUGCAAAGCAAGUUGGAAAACAGAAUCCAUGAAACUGGCAGUGACCGGAAACCAGUUAGAAGACUUUGGUCU
Molecule: non-coding RNA, 1197 nt
Organism: Danio rerio (zebrafish)
Lineage: Eukaryota; Metazoa; Chordata; Actinopteri; Cypriniformes; Danionidae
Source: Ensembl